This 73-nucleotide transfer RNA is filed under the name Pelodiscus sinensis (Chinese soft-shelled turtle). It matches the Rfam family "tRNA". From Rfam's summary of the family: Transfer RNA (tRNA) molecules are approximately 80 nucleotides in length. Their secondary structure includes four short double-helical elements and three loops (D, anti-codon, and T loops). Further hydrogen bonds mediate the characteristic L-shaped molecular structure. tRNAs have two regions of fundamental functional importance: the anti-codon, which is responsible for specific mRNA codon recognition, and the 3' end, to which the tRNAs corresponding amino acid is attached (by aminoacyl-tRNA synthetases). tRNAs cope with the degeneracy of the genetic code in two manners: having more than one tRNA (with a specific anti-codon) for a particular amino acid; and 'wobble' base-pairing, i.e. permitting non-standard base-pairing at the 3rd anti-codon position. Lineage: Eukaryota; Metazoa; Chordata; Testudines; Trionychidae. The record is from Rfam by way of RNAcentral.
CACUGCAUAGCCUAAUGGAUAAGGCGUUUGCUUUUGGAUCAGAAGAUUGAGGGUUCGUGCCCCUUUGCAGUUG